UUGAUGUUUAGAGAGCCAGAGUAUUUUUUCCUAUGAAGAGGGAAACACGAGCUUCUGUUCAACUAUAUUUGAGUGCUCAAACUUCUUGCUGAUGAAUUCAUAUAUGAGACUACGGCUAUAUGUGCGGACUUGAAAAUGACCAGCUAGAUGCUUAAACCAUAUUAUGACCAGCUGGCAGGCAAGUCUAUGUCAACAGGUGGUCCUCUCUUUCAAACCAUCUGUAAUGACUCUCCUAGACUCCUUCAAGUUCCAUUAGAAGUUGCAAGGACAAGACAACGACAACUCUGAAUCAUCUCAAAGAAGGUCUAUUGGAUAUGGCUAUGAUAAGAAAAGUUGUUCUAAUAUAUGGAGACCAGUAGCACAUUGCCACCGUCGCCUAGCUAAGAUUUUGCAAUACAAUGGAGAAAACGAGGAAGGCCGAUGCUCUUUAUUUUGUUUCACGUUGUCUUAGGAAUUACUUUUGAGUGUAACUAUAUUUUCGUAUCAAAAUAUUUUUUUGAUGCCACCUCUUCAUUUUGCAUCUUGUUGUAACUUUGAUCAUAAGCAGAUACAUACUAGAUUUCAUACUACAGUGCAAAUCUUGUGACUUCGAACAAACGAAGCAUGCACAAUUAGACUAUUACACUAACCAACAUUGUAUUACAGGGCAAUUUCGCGUGCCAUUUUCUAUUACCACUAUUGGAAUGUGCAUAUAUCUUGUGCCGUGUUUUUUAUAGCUGCCUUCUUAUUUGUGUUGCUCUAUCGUUUCAUUUGGCUGCAGGGUUUCUGAGUGUCUCGAAGUACUGUUUUACUAAGUUGUGCAACAAGUCCUAGCUUGCUAUUGGGAACUGCAGUUGCUUGCAUCUAUUUAUCCGACCCAGGUCUAGGUGAAUCUGCCUCUUACCCGUGGAGACAAGCUUGAUGCAGCUACUGACGUCUCCAGCCGUUGAGAUUAGCAUGCACCUGACCGGCGAGGAGGCGCCCCAAGAAAAGCUUCUUACGAUUGUGAACGAUACGCUUCUCCACUUCAAAGGAAGAGGCAAGUCCGAGUCAUUUGAAUCUUCAAAUGGAGAGGCUGAUCCUCACACAUAAAGGCGAUGCUGCAUCAGAGUUCAUUAGACACAUAUAUAUUGUUCUUGCUCCCGAUCAGAAUGGUAACAUGAUAUUCUGGCAAAUCUCUGUUGAACCAUACUCUACAUAUAGCUACUUUUUUUUGUCUGUAUUUUACUUCGUACAUUGAUCUUGCGUUUGUAGCUACACCAGCACUUGUUCAAGAUAAUUGUGGUUAAGUUCUAAUUCAUUACCUGCUGAAUACAAAGUCAAUGUAAGCCUAACUUAUUACCAUUCCAGCUAUGUAUGUUUCUAUGACUAA
Lolium rigidum is the source of this 1351-nucleotide long non-coding RNA. RefSeq lists it as uncharacterized. The transcript has 2 exons. NCBI's taxonomy places the organism in Eukaryota, Viridiplantae, Streptophyta, Magnoliopsida, Poales, Poaceae. The record is from RefSeq and is a predicted model, not a curated record.